GACGAACGCUGGCGGCGUGCUUAACACAUGCAAGUCGUACGGUAAGGCCCUUUCGGGGGUACACGAGUGGCGAACGGGUGAGUAACACGUGAGUAACCUGCCCACAACUUUGGGAUAACGCUAGGAAACUGGUGCUAAUACUGGAUAUGUGCCCCUGCUGCAUGGUGGGGGUUGGAAAGCUCCGGCGGUUGUGGAUGGACUCGCGGCCUAUCAGCUUGUUGGUGGAGUAGUGGCCUACCAAGGCGGCGACGGGUAGCCGGCCUGAGAGGGUGACCGGCCACAUUGGGACUGAGAUACGGCCCAGACUCCUACGGGAGGCAGCAGUGGGGAAUAUUGCACAAUGGGCGCAAGCCUGAUGCAGCAACGCCGCGUGCGGGAUGACGGCCUUCGGGUUGUAAACCGCUUUCAGCAGGGACGAAGCUUUUUGUGACGGUACCUGCAGAAGAAGCACCGGCUAACUACGUG
This 465-nucleotide ribosomal RNA is filed under the name uncultured bacterium. Its description in RNAcentral is "partial 16S ribosomal RNA". It matches the Rfam family "Bacterial small subunit ribosomal RNA", at positions 28 to 507 of the family's 1533-position model. The record is from RNAcentral.